RNAcentral lists this long non-coding RNA (223 nucleotides) under Ananas comosus (pineapple). RNAcentral describes it as "long non-coding RNA (ACOM_LNC025974)". The record is from RNAcentral. Lineage: Eukaryota; Viridiplantae; Streptophyta; Magnoliopsida; Poales; Bromeliaceae.
CGAGGACAGCAGCUCUCUUGUUUGGUCUCUGGCGACGGCGUACCGAUGACAAGAACCCGCAUACCGGUACGCAGUGCUGCGAACAGCAGAGUGAGUCUGCUGCAAAUAAAAGAAAGUGGAGGGUUUAUUUGUAAUUGUAACAGCCUAUAAAGAUCCCACACCCCCUCCUCUUUUGUUCACAGCCAAAGAAACACCCCCAACUCCAUUUCUCUCCCUUCCUCUC